AGAUUGAACGCUGGCGGCAUGCCUUACACAUGCAAGUCGAACGGUAGAGUAGCAAUACUUGAGAGUGGCGAACGGGUGAGUAAUAUAUCGGAACGUGCCCAGUCGUGGGGGAUAACGUAGAGAAAUUUACGCUAAUACCGCAUACGAUCUAAGGAUGAAAGCGGGGGACUCGCAAGAGCCUCGCGCGAUUGGAGCGGCUGAUAUCAGAUUAGGUUGUUGGUGAGGUAAAAGCCCACCAAGCCGACGAUCUGUAGCUGGUUUGAGAGAACGACCAGCCACACUGGGACUGAGACACGGCCCAGACUCCUACGGGAGGCAGCAGUGGGAAUUUUGGACAAUGGGCGAAAGCCUGAUCCAGCAAUGCCGCGUGCGAGGAAGAAGGCCUUGGUGUAAGCGUACGUUUGGUUAGGGAAGAAAGUCCGUAGGG
RNAcentral lists this ribosomal RNA (427 nucleotides) under uncultured soil bacterium. RNAcentral describes it as "bacterial SSU rRNA". It matches the Rfam family "Bacterial small subunit ribosomal RNA", at positions 26 to 460 of the family's 1533-position model. The record is from RNAcentral.